UGGAGGUGAUCGAUUGAGGAUGGAGGAUGCUUCGGAUCAAUCUAGUGAUGGAUCUUCCUUGAGCAGGACUUCAUCUUCUCCAAUUCUUGCGGCUGGGUUCUGUGGAAGCUGUCGGAUGAGGAGGCAUUUUUGUAGAUUUUGGACAGUGGGAGUAGGGGCUGUGAGCUCUUGAGUUGUGGCACUAUCUCGAGGUGAGUUUCCUUUGAUGGUGUAUCUCUAGAUCCUUCUAUUAGUGCUCUGUUCUAUCAGUGUUGUUAUUGGAUAUUAGAUCAUGUUUAGUUUAGAGCACAUGGAAGCAUGUAGAGGGAUUCGUUGUAGUUGGAUGCUCUUGUGUUGGAUUAAUUAAUGGCUGGUAGGUUAUGUUUGGAAAGAUUGAAGGAGUUAUAAGGAGAUUUGAUUAGUGAGAAUUAAGGAAAUCAAUUG
Zingiber officinale is the source of this 423-nucleotide long non-coding RNA. RefSeq lists it as uncharacterized. The record is from RefSeq and is a predicted model, not a curated record. The transcript has 3 exons. Lineage: Eukaryota; Viridiplantae; Streptophyta; Magnoliopsida; Zingiberales; Zingiberaceae.